AAUCAACGCUGGCGGCGCGCUUAACACAUGCAAGUCGAGCGAGAAAGGGAGCAAUCCCUGAGUACAGCGGCGUACGGGUGAGUAACACGUGGGUAAUCUACCUUUUAGUGGGGAAGUAACCCUGGGAAACCGGGCGUAAUACCGCAUAAUCCUGUGAAGGGAAAGGACAGCAAUGCGCUGAAUGAGGAGCCCGCGGCCGAUUAGCUAGUUGGU
This 213-nucleotide ribosomal RNA is filed under the name uncultured bacterium. Its description in RNAcentral is "partial 16S ribosomal RNA". It matches the Rfam family "Bacterial small subunit ribosomal RNA", at positions 32 to 253 of the family's 1533-position model. The record is from RNAcentral.